This is a long non-coding RNA of Psammomys obesus (fat sand rat), 1861 nucleotides long. RefSeq lists it as uncharacterized. Lineage: Eukaryota; Metazoa; Chordata; Mammalia; Rodentia; Muridae. The transcript has 2 exons. The record is from RefSeq and is a predicted model, not a curated record.
UCGCGAGAGGCCCUCCGCGCCCCGCCCCCCGGGAUCAGCGUCCAAUCCCGAGUGCGCAGACGUCUGCGAGCUGUCACGGCUCACGCAGCAUCGCGAGGUUUUGUGUUGUCCGGCCGGUGACUGUGGGCCGUGUGCAGGCGAGGCUUCCGGAGCCUGCGUGGCGAGUGGGGCUGGUCUCUCGGGGUUGGCACGGGCUCCUCUACGGCGGACGCGCUUUGUCUCGACGCACGGGAACCAGGUGUGCCCCACUAGACCUGCCAGGCUGAGACUGGAGCCUGGAUUGCUGGGACCUUGUCAAAACCACGCAGCAACAAAACCCCGACGCAAAACCCAAACCAUGGCGUUCCACACUGCAAGUCCAGCAUUCGGUGGGUGAAGGCGGGAGACUCAGAAUUAAGGUCAUCCUGAGCUUCGCACCAGCCUGAGGCUACCGGCGGCCUUGUCUGAAGAAACCCAGCCAGGAGGCCGGAGCGAUGGCCCCGCCCUGGUGGCUUAUAACCAUUCCACUUUCAGGGUUUCCAUCGCGUUCCUCUGAUCGUCGUGGGCACCAGGCUUGCACAUGGUUAGACCAAGCAGGCAAAACACUCAGACUAAAAUUCUAAAAAGAAACGUCUGAGGGAUAACACCUUUUAACCUCAACACUGGAAGCAGAGGCCGGUCUGCGGUCAGCCUGGUCUGCGUACUGCCUUCUGCCCAGUCAAGGGCAGGCAGAGCUCAGUGAGUUUAAGUUGGUGCUGCUGCACUCAGAAAUCCCUGGAGGCUGGAGUGUAGCUCAGGAGUACAGGACUUGCUUAGAGUGUAUGAGGCUCUGGGUUCCCUCUGCCACACCAGAAAACAGAGGGAGAAGAGGUAGGGGAAAGGGACAGAGAAGGGGGAAGGGGAGAUGGAUGUGUAGACUUCAAGUUCAUGAAAACUUUCUCCUCUUUUCUUCAGAAAAUUUAAGCUCUUCCUUUUAUGUUUAAAUCUAGACUUCUAGCUGGCGCAGUGGUGCACGCCUAUAAUCCCAGCACUUGGAGAGGCAGAGGCAGGUGGAUCUUUUUGAGUUCGAGGCCAGCCUGGUCUACAAAGCAAGUCUAGGACAGCCAAGGCUGCACAGAUAAAACUGUCUCAGAAUGUCCAUUUGCUGAAGACUGUAUUUUAACCCAUGAAUUGCCUGGCUUUGUGACCACAAGUAACUAUUAGUGCCACAUCGUUGCUUUUAUAAAACUGUACAGCUUCAAUUAUAUAAUCUUUACCAUUUUUAAGCAUCUUCAAGUGCAGUUCAGUGGUAUGAAGUACACUCUCCUUGUGGAGUAGCCAUCACCAUCAACCAACUAGAAAGUUUGUUAUCUGGAAGAAGUGAAACCACACCCCUUACAAACUCAUUUCCUUCACCCUUUACCCUAUUACGUACAACCAUGUGUCUACUUCCUGUGCAUAGAAUCACACUGUGAUGGUCUGUUGUUACCUUCACUGCAUCUGGAACCACUAAAAUUUAAGCUGCUGGGCAUUCCUCUAAGUUUUCUUGAUUGGAAUAUUUGAGCCACAUUUUCUGGUAGCCAUUAGAUAAAAGGACAUGGAAGGAAGAAACUUUCAUUUUUGCCUGCUUGCUGAGUCAUUCUUUAUGGUUGGGAUUAGAUACACGUUAUUUAGGAUUCCUACAGAGACUGAAGACCAGCAGCUCUCCAGGGACCUUCCAGGCCUCCAGUACAACGCCGCACUAGGAUUGCUAAACUAUCUGGCUGUAGCUGGCCUUUGCUGCUUUGUGGAUUCCUUUUUCUCACCCACCCAUUAUCGUGCCUUCCCCAUUUCACCCCCUAUCACUAGAAGAGAUAAAGGAUAGAGGGGAGAGAAUGGUCAUUAAAUCUAAUUUUUGUUUGUU